CUUGAUCGAUCCCAGCCACAGCGGCCGUUCCCGGCCCGGGCCGUAGGUGGCGAUGAUCGCCUGGGCCUC
This 69-nucleotide antisense RNA is filed under the name Actinoplanes sp. N902-109. Its description in RNAcentral is "ASpks TB sRNA". It matches the Rfam family "ASpks TB sRNA". The record is from Rfam by way of RNAcentral. Lineage: Bacteria; Bacillati; Actinomycetota; Actinomycetes; Micromonosporales; Micromonosporaceae.